Molecule: long non-coding RNA, 11834 nt
Organism: Dermochelys coriacea (leatherback sea turtle)
Lineage: Eukaryota; Metazoa; Chordata; Testudines; Dermochelyidae
Exons: 5
Source: RefSeq, a predicted model, not a curated record
GCCAUCCUCCACCCCAUAAUAUCCUGGGUAACCCAGUAAAACUCCGCCCCCCAACAAGAUCACUUUACUACAACAGCCUUGAAGGAGAUCUGAGAAGCAAAACUGUUUUACACUGGCAACGAAAAGCUUUUGAGUGGCAGAGAGAGAGAGUGAGUCAGUGGAGGGACCUGGGGAACGGUGAAAAAGUCCAAGAGACUUGGAAGCUGCUGGUGAGAAGAGGAAAGAGGCAGCAGACCUGGUGGCUAAGAGAAGAUAGAUCCCAGCUCUAGUUAAUAGAUGCAGGAACCGGAUGGCAGUUGGAGUGGAAUUUCAAUUCAGAAAGGAUGAAGGCAACAGCUUCCUCCAGCCUCAUCUGGAAUAUGUGCUGCCACCAGGACACAAAGGUGCUGCUUUGAGCAGAUGCUAUGCCGCAAGGCAACACUGAACAUUUGUAAUUGGAUUCCAUCCCUGGAGUUAAUUAUAAAGAGACAAUAAAAACUGCUUGGCUUCUAUUUGAGUAACUAUUAUUUUGUGUUAAAAUUCUUUGUUUGAAGGGGUAGAUAUUUGUAGUUUUAAUUUAACGUGAAACCUUUGUACAUAUUAUAUCUGUGCGUUUAUACAUAGAUGUUACACAGAUAUAUAGACGCAUUUUAUAUAUAUAUGUAAAUGUAUUAGUGUGAGUGUGUGUGAGAGAGAGAGAUAUUAAAAAAUCAAUAAAAUAUACAUAUCACACACACAAAAAAUAUGUAUAUAUACACUCAGAGCCGUACCUAUAUAUAAUAUGAUAUGAGGCAGGAAGACAGAUUUCUCUGCCCUUCUUGGAGACUAGAUUUCCCUAGUCAAGAAUUUAGCUUCAUUAGCCAACAGAUAACUCUGCCCUUUAGACUCUGAUGAGCACAUUCUCCCACCCGACCCCACAUGACUUUAUUAAUGGAUUAGGGGCCCCAGAAUGGCUCAGUAGCUGAGACACUCUGAACCCAUAAGUAGUAGAGUUUGGUGUUCCUGAGUGUUCCGUAAAGCUGUUUUAAUGAAUGCAUAGCUACACGAGGUAACAAUGGCCGCGCCGGAACAAUUCUGCAUUGGCAGGGGAGAGAGCAGGGCCUAGGUCAGGGAGGUGCAUAAGCAUGUACCCCUCUUUAAGCAUAUGCAAAGUCCCAUUGACCUCAGGGUGCGCACCUGGUUAAAUAUCUUGCUGGACUGUGGUCUAGAUCAGUUUUCCACCAGUUACAGCAUUCUGUAGCGUAAGCGGUACGUGAGAUGGUCUCAUAGCUCCCAUCUUUUAAGGAACCAGGGACUAGAACGCUGGUCUGCAAAGCCUGGGCUGGCUGGUAUUCCCAUAGUACCACCAGGGAGCACUAUGGAGAGUAGGCACUGCAGGAAGCGCUGCCCAAGAGACUCAGAAUGACUGAGCCCUGCGGCCCUCUGAUUAGCCACGUCCCCUAUUUAACCCCAGAGGUUGGCCCAGGAAGUUGGCUGGGCAGCCACAUAGAGUUUAGUCUAUCUAUUGCCAUGCCUGACUUUGCUUGAUCUCUGAUUUCUGACCCCAGCCUGACUCUGACCCUGAUUCCUGCCUCUCGAGCCUAACCUGGUACUGCCUCUGGCCUCUGACUCCAGCCUGACUCUUGCUUACAUAACCUGGCUCUUGCAAUUCCUCCAGCUCCUGCCUGGUGACUACUGUCUCUUGUGGCCAGACCUUAGCCCAGCUGUGACUGCUAAACCAGACCACUUACGCCCUGGUCCAUUACACCAUUUUAGCUCCCCCAUGAUGUGAGACACACUGAGCUAGGGGACCUGAUGGGUCGUUGUCAUUUCCAUAUCGCUGAUAAUUUAUUCUCAAAAGCCUAAGCAUGCACAUUCCCUCUUUUGAAAAUAGACUUGAAAGCUGAAAUGAAAAAUGAACAGAAUAAAUGGAUUCUCUCUGCUUUCAAAAUAAUCCAUGUGAAUUAUUUCUAAUGAUGCUGUCUUGGAAGAACGUUAGUAUUUCCUGGGUGAAACAUUUCUCAUGAAGCAGCUGAAUGAUGCAUUCUUGUGUCAGAAAACUAUUUGCAAAUGCAUCAAUAUCCUUGUGUGACCAUGAGAGCUGGAGUAGAAGCUCAGUGCUAGACACUCCAGAAGUGGUGGUUUUUCUCCAUGUCCCUUCAUGAUCAGUGCUACGUGUUUUCUCCUGGUAUCUAUGAGAAAAAUUUUAUCCAUGAUAACAUGCCAGUCAUCAGUUCUAGGAAUUCACCAUAACAGAUCACACACUACAGUUCACAUGAGCAUAAUAUCCUGCUUCCAAUACCUCAUGCUUUAAAGAAAGAUGAAAACCUUACAGGGUGUACCUGGCCAAUUGUGCAAAUAUAUAUAUUAUGGGGAGAGGAGUAAAUGUCCUCUCUGAUCCUCAGGGCAAUCAGCUUAUACAUGAAGGCUCAAUCCUGCAAGGUGCUGAGCAUUCUGGCCCUGAUCCAUCAAUGCCCGUAAACAUGUGCUUAGCUCUAAGCAUGUGGGUAAUAUCUCUGACAUUAAGGAAGUGCUUGAAUGCUUUGUUGGGUCUUGGCCAGAAUACACAGCACCUUGCAGGACUGAGUCCUGAAGCAAGAGAUCUAAAUUCCCCUAUCCUAUGAUUAGAAAUAUUAUUAAUGAUCAGAAAAUUAUUAUAGUCUCUGUGCAGUAAACAGAGAACACAAUGCCAUCAUAUACUACCAGGCGCUAUUGCCAGUGUGUUCAAUGCGUCCCAAAUGCUGAGUCAGUCUGGGACUUUUUGUAUGGAAUAUAAUAUAAAUAGUCAUAUUCUACUAAUGUCACAUUGGCUUGGGGAGGGUAGUUCACUCAUUACAUCUGAAGGGGGUUACUUACUGGCCAACAAGCUAAAUCCAUUAUUAGGGGAAUAAAAAUUCUGCUUGUGAAUCUUUCUCUCCACAGGAGAAAGAAACUCGGAAGUUUUGUACCUCCUCCCCAAGUAGUUGUAGAAUAUAUUUCGCUGUCUUUCACCAGGAGCUCUCAUUACAUUUAAAUUACAAAUGCAUUAGCCAUCUAUACAUAUUAACACAAAAGAAUAUUUAUUGGAAUAAAAGGCAAUAGAUUUUUUGAGUUAUCUUUCUCAGUUUUAAACAGCUGUCUGAUUAUAUCCAAUUACAUGUCACACUUAAGCUAAGUGUUUGUAGAAAAAGAAAGAUGUUGGAAUUUAAAACAAUGUCAGAUCAAAAUUAAUGCCAUGGUUGUGUUUGAUAAUUAAAAAAAUGCCACCUCCAUUAGCUUGUCUUGAUAAGCAGGCAGGCAGACAAAUGGAUGUUCAGAAACCUUUCUGCUAUUCCAGUGACUGUUUGAAACUAAUAAGCAAGGGUUGCAUCAGUAUGUUCAGAAGGUAAAAUGAAAGCAAGACCAAUGCAAAUGAAGAUGAGGAAUGCAUGGAGUCAUGGAUAAGAAAACUAAAAAUUAGGGACUAGAGAGUAAACAAGAAACCAUGCUGCUGCUAUUUCAUAAAGAAAAUAAACCUGUGUAUUAAAAUUGCCAAGUGCAGCCAUCAAAACUAAGCAAAUAGUUUCUGAGACAGUUUGCGUUGAUUCAGACAUGGAGGGUAAGGGCUGGUGUUGGUGCAAGGAAGUGGAGAUGAAAUUUGCCAAACGGAGCCAUGAUUACUGGGCCAGAGACCUAAGCACUGCAAGAUGCUAACAGAUCAGCAGUAAUUUUGUUCACCUCUCCUAGAUUUUUUUGGGGUACAGUUCCCUCUUUUUAUCCACUAUUUGUAGCAAUGGCUCACUCUUUCUGUCUGGGCUUGUCCCUCAGUCUGGCUGCUGUCAGGCACAACAGGACCCUCCACAACCCACAUCCCCUCUCAAUAUACAUAAGGAUCCCCAUCCAGUAAUCCGCUUCCAUCACUAAUUUGUAAACACCUCUCCCACAACUCAGACCUGUACACUGCAAUCACAUAUAUCCCACACACUGCACCUUCACUACCAACCUGCACUCAGUCACACGUGCACGGCCUGCACCCGCGUGCAAACCCAAACCCUCCUUCACCAAAGAAUUCAAAGCUACAUACCAUAAAAAUGUAUUGGUGCGUGGACCGCAAAGCAGCACGGUCUUUUGUUGAGACUCAAGACUGUAGUGAGAUCCUCCAUUAGUGUAAAUUAUCAUAGCUCCACUGGCUUCAACAGAGCUAUGACACUCUUUGGGCUACUCACAUGUUUAUGACAAUUUGCACCUGCUGAGGAUCUGUCCUCUAGUCGGUGAGUUAAUGCUCACAUCGGUGCUUAAACUAUUAUGGUGUCAGUUGUCGGAAGACAACGCAUUCUUGAAAUACCAGCUUUGUAGCUGGAAUUAUGGAUUGUUGUAUUGGAACAAGGACAAUUUGGUAGCAGCAUGCCAGAGGCCAGAUUGCUGGAGGCUAAACUGUACAGUACAGGAUUUUAUAGAUGAGGUCACAGCCUUAUCCAUAUUUUACAAGCACUCUCAAAUAGCACUUUAGCCUUUGACAGGCCUGGGUACAUAGCUCACAGGAGAAUGGUACUGGGGAGUGAGAGGCAUCUGCUCUGUCGAGGGAGGGUGCUAUAUCGUCCACCUGUAACUGUGUCCAUCUUUACUGGGGUCACUCUAGCAAAACUGGCUUUAAGGAUGCUGUCAAAGGGAGAUUAAAAAGCUCAGAGGAGGUGGUGAGGAGGAAAGACUAGAAAGGAAGUAGAAAUUGGAAAGGGAAAAAUGUUCUUUCCCAUGAGCUUUGGGCUCAGGAGUUCCCUUGGGGUGAAAUCGAAAGGAACAAUUGAUUCCUGAAGUUGCCCUUUUAGUGACUCCCUCGAAAGGGAAAGCAUGAGGAAUCUGUGCAGCCAGCUAGCUUGCUGAGUUAGACAUGAAAGGCUGACAGGGCGAGGCUUUAAGCAACAGCACGAUCUGCAUUUUAGAUUAACUUUACUAAGCAUUGUUUGACUUUGCCAGUGCAGCUGAUGCCCUGUGAAGUGCAUGCCAUGUAAAAUGUAAUUCUUAUUAAGUAUAGUUUCUGCUGUUCAUAUAAAGCUUUAUCUAGCUUUGAGGGAAACAAGACAAACUGACCUGCCAAAGGAUCAUAUUGUCUCACUAAUGUGAUAUAUUUGCUUUGGCUUCACAUAGGAGUGGAAUAUGGCUGCCUAUUAGCAAAACACUAAAACAGGCAGCCAAGAUGCCAUAUACCUGUAUAAAACAAUAUCCUGAUCAGAUGCAGCACCCAACUUUUUGCUGUUAUCUGCUGUGUGUGGUGUUUAGAGCUUUGACGGCCCCUGUCAGAUUUUUCAUCUUUAAUCUCCCUCUAAAUUAAAAACAAGCUAAGUCCCUUUUGGAGAUGUUACAGAAAACCACGUUUCCUUUUUAUGCUUCCUUAAAGAGCUCCAUUUUUCUGUCUCUUCUCAUCAGCCAGAGUAAUUUUAGGCUGUUAGAGAAAGUUCAUCGCUGUAAUUGCAACCAUAUUGGUGAUUAAAGUUGACAGGCUGUUGAGCAAGUCACUCAGUGAUUCCCACCACUCAGUAGACAGUUCCCAGUGCUUGCUAAAAUGUUAGUUUGAAUUUAUGAAAAGGAAACCAAUCCAUUUCACCUCCAGGGAGGGUAGAAAGCUCAGAACUCAUCCUUGCCUUUAUUUGUAAACAGCAUUCACAUGCUCCUUCCUUAAGCAGAUUCAAACUAUUCAUUAUUUACUUUAGCCCAUAAAAGAUCCUCCUAAUGCUCUCUCUUAUGGGUUGAAUUUGGUAAUGCAUUUGGGAAGGAGAAUUGAGCUCUCCUGCCUCUGAGUUGAUAAAACAACAAACCUCACAUGACAUUUCUGAGCUUAUGGAUAUUUAAGAAAGAUAAUGGUUCUUUGCAUUUACAUAGAAGGAUCUCAAAAAUUAAAAGAGGUGGGCAUUAUUACUAUCACUUUAUAGGUGGGGAAACUGACGCAUGGAGUUUAAGGACCUGAUCCAGUGGGAGUCAUUACAUUGAUGUCAAUGGGCAAUAGAUCAGGCCCUAGAAAAAUACUUAAAAAGUCUUCAGGCCCCAAUCCAGCAAAGCGCUUAAACAUGUGAGUAGCCCAAAGAGUGGGACUUAUCCUCAGUUGGUGUAAAUGUGAAGCUAUGACAGUGUACAGAAGCCGAGGAGCUGCUGCCAUGUCUGUAAGUGCUUUGCUGGCAGAUGGGGUCUGUGACUCAGUGGUAUAGCUGGAAACAGAACACAGGAGUCAUGGCUCUUCAUUCAUUGUUCUAACCACUGGACAACUCUGCCUCCCAGUUUGACUCUCUACAAGUUAAUAUGUCUCUCUGUAUCUGGGGAGGAGGAAAGCCUUUUAAAGAGAUUUGUGCACGAUAGAUUAAUUGUCUCAUCUCAAGCAGAUAUAAAGCAUCCACCCAUAGGGAGUUACUUCAAAAACAUUUGUGGUUGUGUUUCCCUUCAUCAUUCUCUUUCAUCUGCUCUUGGUGAAGAGCAGCCAUUCCAGGUUAUCUUGAUCUUCCGUGGCUCUUUAGGAUAAAGAUAAAAGGAGAGAUUCUGCAGCAAGUUGUUACCAUGUGUCCUCCCUCCCCACUUCCACUCCCACUCCCAUAACAAGGAAAACAGCUUGAUUUACUUCACUUAUUACUGGAAAAAAUAUUCUCCCCUCUUUCCCAUUAAUCAUAGACCCAAAAGUGUCUUUUGUAUUUUUGAAGCUAGGGGGCAAUGUUUUACCUUCUUGUCCAGCCUUGUGGCUUCCAAGCCCUUGGCAUGCUAUGGAAAUAAAUCUGACAUUAAAAUAUUUCAUUUGGGAUCUCCGGUUACUGAUUUAUUACUGGUGCGAUGUAGCAAGUGAAUAUUUCUUGCAAGUAUUCUCAGCUCAUAUAAUGAAUCCCACACACUCCAUGCUAGAAAAAUAAGGAUCCACUUAGGAUUUUUUUUUAUCCAGUAAACUUUAUUUAUAUAUAACAACAGUACAAAGUGAGUCCUUGGCUUGCAAAAUAGGAGUGUUUCAUAUUUACAAUAGGUACACAAUCAUAUAUUAGAAUAACAAAAAACCUUUUUUCCUUGGAACAUUUUUAAAUACUUAAACUUUCUUACAUUUUUUUCCACAACACUUGUAAAAACAACAAAAACCAGACAACCAUCUUUUAAAAAAAAAUAUAGUACAGAACUCCAGUGUGUUAAAUAUAAGUGGAAGAGGGGAAAAGCUAGGGAAAGGUUAUGGUUGUGUGGGGGUGGGCAAAGUAUGCAGUUCAAUUUAUUAUCCGUGACAGUUUGCCUUGUAACUGGUAUGCAUUUAUUUUUAAGGGAUGGGUCAAACAAAAUAAAAAGCCCUUCCACCCCCAGCAAAUCUUUAUCCAAAAACUCAAGCCUAUCCUUUUCUGAGGUUCAAGAAAGUUUGGUUCCCAUGCCCUGCUCACCCCCUAAACCCAUUUUCCAUAUCAGUGUCUUUGCAGAAGGAGCCAUUAACAAAUGAGCACUCUCCAUGGUACCAUAGGGGGAUCUUGCUGUAGUACAUUUUGAGUAUAAGAAAUAGCAUGGCACAGUCACUAUUAUGGUACGAUGCUUAUUUACUUUUUGAUGGCUUCCCCGAUAUGCACAUCCAUGUACUGUCUGAGAUUGGAAAUGACAAAAAUAUGACAGGAGAGACUGUUUUCAUCAUUUCCCCAGCCCAUCUGCAGCAGGAAGUGCUAGAAAUCUCAGAAGAAAGCCUGCUCAGGAGAUUUCUGCUUUGAUUUUGCAGACCUAAGAGGCCUGGAGAGUUCAGAGAAGUGUCCCAAUUUCUGGGUGCUUUAUUGGAACCUGCCAAUCUGAGAUAUUUGCCCAUUGCGGAGGGGGAGGGGGGAGAAGGGGAAGACUUUUUACACGGGGGGGGGCGGAAGGCUGGAUAACACAAAGGCAAAUGGGAAUGUUUAGACUGAAAAAGAUAAACACAGAGACAACUUCAGUGUUAACAACAGUCAAAACAAAUGGUGUCAUUUGAAUUGUGGCCUGAUUUGUUUCAUGUAAAGCCCCCAAAGUGAUGAGUCUCAGACAGCCACGCAAGGUGAGGAGCUGCUUGUUUAGCAAUUUGCUCCAGUCUGCGUUUGUUACUAACCGAGGCAGAACACAUGAUACUCAGGUGCAUUAGCCACUCACCUACUGCUGAUGCAGCAGAAAGAUACGCACGUGCAAUGGAACCUUGACCUGCUGAAGGAAAACCCUCUUUCUGAAGAUUAUUCCCAAGUUGUCCUCACAAUGUCCCCCCAAAUCUGAGCCAUUGCCAGCUGGUACAAUAAAACAUUGAGGGGAUCACAAAGGAUUGUAGAGAGCUUACGAAAGCUUGGUAUAAGAUGUUUCUCCUUAACAUAAUUGAGAAGCAAUGCUCACCAUCUAUUUCUAUACUAUUUGGCUUGUCACAUUGCCUUGAACUAGAACAAGAGCAUUGGAAAGGGGGGAUUUUUGAGAGGCAAGAAAAAAAAUCAAGGUCUUUCUUUCAAAUGGGAGCCUUUUAUGAAGGUGAGAGGUAACCAUGUCCUUUGCAGAAGGGAGUUCCUUGCACUGUCACUUACUAGAAAUUGAACAGUGAUGUUUCCCUUCUGUGAAGCCUUUUAAACAGAGAGAAAAAUGUUCAAAGCCUUCACAGUUUUAAAAACAUCCCCUCUUUUAAAACUAGCCUGACCGGCCUAAAUUUAGAUUUUGCAUUUUGGGUUAUUCAGCCCAGUGGCUUCCGAAUAGAGUUGCCUUUAGAAACUUCAGUGCAAAGCUUUACAUUUUUAACUCGAAUGAUUCCCCCAACAAGUAUCUAAUCUAAAAAAAUCUGCCCCUGUCCACAUUAACAUUGCGGGGCCCUUUUGCUACCACAUACAUUAGCUCUGCGCCUCUCACAUGCUGAUUCUGACAAGCCUGGGACAAAGGGUUAAAGUCUGAAGGGUACUUAGGGUGGUACUUUCACUGAAGACACAUUCAAUAUACAGAUCAGACUGUUCACCAAGCUUUAUCUAGCAAGUAACUAUAUACAACAUCACAGCUCUCUGUAUUAUUGGCUUAAGGUUUAUGGUACAAUGGAAUACUGAAAUAUGAGGACUGAAGCUUUGCUGUAUUUUUAAUGCAUCUUUGAUGUUGGUUAUUUAUUCUCUGAACGUUUUUUAUGUCUUUUCUCCAGAAUGCAGUCACUAUUGAGUUUCCCCCGGAUGUCCCAGCUCAUUCAAGUCAUUCUGUUUUUGUUUCAUUUAGACUGCUGAACUGAGUCCUCCUGACAGGCGAAUGCUGAGAGCACUGGAAACUGAAAGGAGAACUGCCAGCGACGGUGAAAACACAACCCUGCUGCUGCUGCUGUUAAUGGGAAACGCUCUAGCUGCAGGCUAAAAAAAUAAUCAGUGUGACGGGAAUAAUUCUUAAGGAUGUUUUACCCCUUGUCAAGUUCCUGAAAUUGGGAAGGCAUCCGAGCAGCACACAGACCAACUUCCCUUCACCUCUUUUGGAGUUGUGGGCACUCAGCUUUUCUGGCAAAUCAGACUCUUUAUGUGCAUCUCAUGUAUGGCAACAGAAAUGGAGGUAUCCCAAACCAGUAGCUACUGCUGAAAACUUGGACCUAAAUGACAUGUCCAACGUCACUCUGUGAGUCAGCAACAGGCAAGAACAAGGCUCUCUAUUCUAAUCCUUAUACAAACAUUCUCAGCCAAAUUGUUACAUGUAUAGAAUGCAGUGAGACUUUUGGUAAAAAUCCAUUUAAAAUGUUUAUUAGCAAUAGAAUAUAUUCUUUAAGUGGAGUUGUGUAGUCUGGGUAUUUAGACUGCACAGGACAGGCGUUGCACACUGGGGAGAGGAAGGAUUCCAUCUGCAUAGGAGGAGAAUGGCUGUAUGCAAGGUCCCUUUUAUGCCAGAGCACCAGGAAAAGAUUUGCAUCCUAAACAUAGUCGCACACAUUUCCAUUUUCUCCCUCUGCCUACAAUGUUUCCCACUAGCAGCAGGGCUGUGGCUAUUUUAUUUAAAAUGCUUGUUUGUCAUAACAAUUCUUAAUGUAGCUACAGGGAAUUCUUAAUAUAGCUGGAUGCUACAAAGGCUUCAGCAGUUUUCCUGUUCUGAUUUCUCCUGUUUCACUUUAAGCACUGGGAGAUCUCCUUACCCACUCUCUAUAGGAAGAAGCAGGCAACAUGCCCUCCACAUCUUUCUGUCAUAGCAUUUUGGUGCUAAGGAGCAAGGUCCCAACAGAGGCAAGCCUGCUGAUAAGCUGGGACUCUUGUAUAGAGUUUUUUUAAUAAAGGCUUUCAAAGUGAAAAGGCAUUUGGUUAGCACUUUGCUACCCCUUGGAGUGGGCUCUUUGAUAGCUCAGGCUACUGCUCACGAGCAGAAGAUUAAAUGGAAUUAUUUAAACAGUAGCACCAGACACAGAAAUUCCAGAAAUGCCAUCUUCUGCUCUGAUGUCAAAACCCUUGAAACAAAGCAGGCUAGAGACUCCUAACACCAAACCAAGUUUGGCCCUGUGCAGGGAGGGAAGCACUGAAAUGGAUGUGGAAUCAUUUCAUCUAAGGCAAAAUCAGUGCCUCCCCACCAAACAAACCUGGAGUCAGGUUUGUCUGCAGUACAAAGAAAAUACCAUUGUGAGGUCUGAAGCUUUACCCACAAAGGAGCUGAGAAACGGGCAAAGAGUGCCAGGGCCUUGCCCUAAAGGGACAGGCUGUUUCAUACCACAAACUUCCUUUAAACUUCCAUUAUAGCGAAUGUACUAUAGUACACUCUCUCCAUUUCAGGGAUGGCGAAAGAAUCAUAGAGAGAUGACACAACUAGCUCGGGAUCACACAGCACACUCUGCCUCUCUGCAAGGAGACUUAAGACUGGGCAUUUUCAAGUCUGGUUUUGAUUCCAUUAAAUAAACUCUGGUAGCUAUUUUGCUGCAACCACCACGACUCAUAUGGUCGAUACUUCUAUUUCCAUUAGGUCUAAUCACCUCAUCCUCCCCCACUGUAGUCUGCAAAAAUAUCAAUAUUUAUUAGAGAGAGAAAUAUUUACAGCAUUCCAUCCACCUCUUGGCACUCUUUAAAGGGACAGGAAAGCUUUGGUUUCUUUUAAAGGAAUAGCACUCACAAACAUUUGCCUUUUGCUGUUCUUGAAAAGAUGGGCUGCUAUGGCCAGUUCGAAACUGAACCUAACAAUGAGAUACAGAGACAAAGAUGACAAUGUUGGCUAACACUUGAAGUGCGUCGAUUUGGACUUUCUCUCGCCUUGAGUAAAGAUUCUCCCUCUCCCCAACAGAAAUAAAAGUCCUAUGCUUCACCUUCGGGUGACCUUGCAUGUGCCAAGGGAAAAAUGUAAUUGGAGUCUGUCCUGAUCUUAUGCGUAAGUAUGAGUGUGUCUCAAACAGAAAAGCAAUAAAUAUGUUAUCUCACUAUGUCUACGCUUUUCAAGUAUCACUUGCUGUAAACAUUGUUUUUAGUUUUUGUUUUUUUUUCCUACAAGAAAUUACAUCGUGGCUGGAACAAAAUAACACUAGUCAACUAACAGCCCAAGCAACUAAGUAAGUCUCAGCCCAGCUCUGCUUGACUGUACAAGAUCAGCCAAUUGGUUUUUCUUAAAUUGCACCUGUAGAAACCUACAAUGCACCAAUUUCAGUUUAAACUGUAUAUGACUUCCUUAGUUUCAAUGCCAUGGAGGGCAGAACAUUCUUCAGGAACACGAGUGAAGCAAACAAAAAUACCGUAGAAUCUUUACACCUGGGUGGAGCUGUGUGUUGAAAUGGAAUGGAAAUAAAAGAGAAAAAUGUUUAAAAUCAGACCCACCAUCAUUCAACAGUAAGUGGGAUUUAAAAAAUAUAUAUAUAAUAUAUAUAUAUAUAUAUAUUGACACUAUAUAAAUACAUAGAUAAAGCUGGAUUUCAAGACAAACAGGUUAGAUGAUCUGAUGGUUCUGUAAUUCAGGUAAAGUUCUUUCUGGUGCCACUGGAUUUAUUUCCAGCUAAACUAUUAUCU